AUUGAACGCUGGCGGCAUGCCUUACACAUGCAAGUCGAACGGUAACGGGCCUUCGGGUGCCGACGAGUGGCGAACGGGUGAGUAAUACAUCGGAACGUGCCCGAUCGUGGGGGAUAACGAGGCGAAAGCUUUGCUAAGACCGCAUACGAUCUACGUAUGAAAGCAGGGGACCGCAAGGCCUUGCUGCGACGGAGCGGCCACUGGCUGGUUAGGUGGUGGGUGGGAUAGAAGGUUACCAAGCCGACGAUCUGUACCGGGUCUGAGAGGAUGACCGGCCACACUGGGACUGAGACACGGCCCAGACUCCUACGGGAGGCAGCAGUGGGGAAUUUUGGACAAUGGGCGCAAGCCUGAUCCAGCCAUGCCGCGUGCAGGAUGAAGGCCUUCGGGUUGUAAACUGCUUUUGUACGGAACGAAAAGCCUUCUUUUAAUACAGGAGGGUCAUGACGGUACCGUAAGAAUAAGCACCGGCUAACUACGUG
Molecule: ribosomal RNA, 482 nt
Filed under: uncultured bacterium
Lineage: Bacteria
Description: partial 16S ribosomal RNA
Rfam family: Bacterial small subunit ribosomal RNA
Source: RNAcentral